GAUGAACGCUGGCGGCGUGCCUAAUACAUGCAAGUCGAGCGAGCGGACGAGAAGCUUGCUUCUCUGAUGUUAGCGGCGGACGGGUGAGUAACACGUGGAUAACCUACCUAUAAGACUGUGAUAACUUCGGGAAACCGGAGCUAAUACCGGAUAAUAUUUUGAACCGCAUUGUUCAAAAGUAAAAUACGGUCGUUCUGUCACUUAUAGCUGGACCCGCGCUGCAUUAGCUAGUUGGUAAGGUAACGGCUUAACAAGGCAACGAUGGAUAGCCGACCUGAGAGGGUGGUCGGCCACACUGGAAGUGAGACACGGUCCACACUCCUGCGGGAGGCCGCAGUAGGGAAUCUUACGCAAUGGGGGAAAACCUGACAGAGCAACGUCGCGUGAGUGAUGAAGGUCUUCGGAUCGUAAAACUCUGUUAGUAGGGAAGAACAUAUGUGCAAGUAACUGUGCACAUCUUGACGGUACCUAAUCAGAAAGCCACGGCUAACUACGUG
Molecule: ribosomal RNA, 497 nt
Filed under: uncultured bacterium
Lineage: Bacteria
Description: partial 16S ribosomal RNA
Rfam family: Bacterial small subunit ribosomal RNA
Source: RNAcentral